RNAcentral lists this ribosomal RNA (499 nucleotides) under uncultured bacterium. Its description in RNAcentral is "partial 16S ribosomal RNA". It matches the Rfam family "Bacterial small subunit ribosomal RNA", at positions 28 to 507 of the family's 1533-position model. The record is from RNAcentral.
GACGAACGCUGGCGGCGUGCUUAACACAUGCAAGUCGAACGGGCCCGCUCUCUUUUUUGGGGGUGGGUUGAGUGGCGAACGGGUGAGUAUCACGUGAGUAACCUGCCCCCUGCUCCUGGAUAACUGCUUGAAAGGGCGGCUAAUACGGGGUGUGCCGGCUGUUCCGCAUGGGCCUGGUCGGGAUAGUUUCAUCUUCGGGUGUUUCGGUGGGGGAUGGGCUCGCGGCCUAUCAGCUUGUUGGUGGGGUGAUGGCCCACCAAGGCGGUGACGGGUAGCCGGCCUGAGAGGGUGAGCGGCCACACUGGGACUGAGACACGGCCCAGACUCCUGCGGGAGGCAGCAGUGGGGGGUAUUGCACAAUGGGCGGAAGCCUGAUGCAGCGACGUCGCGUGAGGGAUGGAGGCCUUCGGGUUGUGAACCUCUUUCUCCGGGGGUGAAGGCCCUGUCCGUUGCGGCGGGGUUGACGGUAGCCGGGUAUGAAGCGCCGGCUAACUACGUG